Long non-coding RNA from Suricata suricatta (meerkat), 371 nucleotides. RefSeq lists it as uncharacterized. The record is from RefSeq and is a predicted model, not a curated record. The transcript has 2 exons. Lineage: Eukaryota; Metazoa; Chordata; Mammalia; Carnivora; Herpestidae.
CUGACUGAGCCACCAAGGCACCCUUUGGUCUGAUUUUUCAGAUGCCGUAAUGGCUUGUCUAAGACAAGAAAGGUUGGCUUAAAUAUAGUAGAAAAAAUAAUUUAGGGGAAUUUUCCUUCUUUUGUGUAAAAGAUUUCAAGUCAUGGGCCAAGUUGAAGAGAACACCUGUGCUGUGAUAACAAAGAAGGUGUGUUUUCCGAAAAGUGUUGCAAUCAGAGUUACCGGAUUUGUCAACAUGUGAUUUCUUCAGACAGUGAAUUCUAAGCUGAUCACAGUUUAUCUUUCCCAUUAAAAGAAUCUCAAGUCCUUUUUUAUUUAUGUACUUUUGUAGAAGUACAUUAUUUUUACAAUAAAUGUUGUGGUGAUGAUAA